CCUAAAGCCUGAAGUUGCUCAGUCCUCCGAAUUAUGGCUGUCACUUCAGUUUGGUGGAUACGUAGUACAAGAGAAUCCGUCCAGAGUACACGGGCCUCUCAGUGUUGUGGCCUCUCCCGUUGCGGAGCACAGGCUCUGGACGCGCAGGCUCAGCGGCCAUGGCUCACGGGCCCAGCCGCUCCGCGGCAUGUGGGAUCUUCCCGGACAGGGGCACGAACCCGUGUCCGCUGCAUUGGCAGGCGGAGUCUCAACCACUGUGCCACCAGGGAAGCCCAAGGCACGGAAGAUGGCGAAAGAAGGCACGGAAGAUGGUGGAAGAGCAAGACACGGAGAUCACCUUCCUCCCCACAGAUACACCAGAAAUACAUCUACACGUGGAACAACUCCUACAGAACACCUACUGAACGCUGGCAGAAGACCUCAGACCUCC
Lagenorhynchus albirostris (white-beaked dolphin) is the source of this 430-nucleotide long non-coding RNA. RefSeq lists it as uncharacterized. The transcript has 3 exons. The record is from RefSeq and is a predicted model, not a curated record. NCBI's taxonomy places the organism in Eukaryota, Metazoa, Chordata, Mammalia, Artiodactyla, Delphinidae.